This is a long non-coding RNA of Quercus robur (English oak), 269 nucleotides long. RefSeq lists it as uncharacterized. The record is from RefSeq and is a predicted model, not a curated record. The transcript has 3 exons. Lineage: Eukaryota; Viridiplantae; Streptophyta; Magnoliopsida; Fagales; Fagaceae.
GAACCAAGGUAUUGCAUGGUCCACGGACUCAAACCUAUGGGGAAACCAACUACUUAAAAUCAAGUUUUGGACAGAACCAAGGUAUUGCAUGGUCCACGGACUCAAACCUAUGGGGAAACCAACUACUUAAAAUCAAGUUUUGGACAGAACCAAGGUAUUGCAUGGUCCACGGACUCAAACCUAUGGGGAAACCAACUACUUAAAAUCAAGUUUUGGACAGAACCAAGGUAUUGCAUGGUCCACAGACUCAAACCUAUGGGGAAACCAAC